UCGUGUCGUGAGAUGUUGGGUUAAAGUCCCGCAACGAGCGCAACCCUUGCCAUUAGUUGCUACGAAAGGGCACUCUAAUGGGACUGCCGGUGACAAACCGGAGGAAGGUGGGGAUGACGUCAAGUCCUCAUGGCCCUUAUAGGUGGGGCUACACACGUCAUACAAUGGCCGGUACAGAGGGUAGCCAACCCGCGAGGGGGAGCCAAUCCCACAAAGCCGGUCGUAGUCCGGAUCGCAGUCUGCAACUCGACUGCGUGAAGUCGGAAUCGCUAGUAAUCGCGGAUCAGCAUGUCGCGGUGAAUACGUUCCCGGGUCUU
This 317-nucleotide ribosomal RNA is filed under the name uncultured Allobrachymonas sp. Its description in RNAcentral is "bacterial SSU rRNA". It matches the Rfam family "Bacterial small subunit ribosomal RNA", at positions 1060 to 1382 of the family's 1533-position model. Lineage: Bacteria; Pseudomonadati; Pseudomonadota; Betaproteobacteria; Burkholderiales; Comamonadaceae. The record is from RNAcentral.